This 77-nucleotide transfer RNA is filed under the name Gammaproteobacteria bacterium. Its description in RNAcentral is "tRNA-Arg". It matches the Rfam family "tRNA". From Rfam's summary of the family: Transfer RNA (tRNA) molecules are approximately 80 nucleotides in length. Their secondary structure includes four short double-helical elements and three loops (D, anti-codon, and T loops). Lineage: Bacteria; Pseudomonadati; Pseudomonadota; Gammaproteobacteria. The record is from RNAcentral.
GCGCCCGUAGCUCAACCGGAUAGAGCACUGGUUUUCUAAACCAGAUGUUGCAGGUUCGAGUCCUGCCGGGCGCGCCA